AUGUCUUUGUGUUUGUUUGAAAACGUCCAGGUCCUAAUUGAAGAGAAGACUGAAGAACCACAAAUCUCAACAUUACGAAAGAGAGGGAGACCAUCGAAACAAUCCACUUCACGUACGAAGAAACAAAAAGCUCCUAAUCCUUUAUGGAUUGGAAGAUGGCUCAAGCGAUAUAAAAUAAGGAGAGAUGGAAGAAAAGAUGCUUUUUACAUUCAUAAGAUGAUACCUAAACUUACUUGUCGAUCUAAGAAAGAGGUAGAGAGAUAUGAAGAAUAUGGAAUUUGUCCAGGUAGAAAAGCAGAUGAAAAUGGAAAUGAAAUACCUAAGAGUAUCACUAAAAAAGAAAAAGGUUAG
Vicia faba (fava bean) is the source of this 351-nucleotide non-coding RNA. NCBI's taxonomy places the organism in Eukaryota, Viridiplantae, Streptophyta, Magnoliopsida, Fabales, Fabaceae. The record is from the annotation of a GenBank genome assembly.